RNAcentral lists this non-coding RNA (26 nucleotides) under Homo sapiens (human). Lineage: Eukaryota; Metazoa; Chordata; Mammalia; Primates; Hominidae. The record is from RNAcentral.
UGAGCUUUUGGGUUGUGAGGAGGUUC